RNAcentral lists this transfer RNA (72 nucleotides) under Ictidomys tridecemlineatus (thirteen-lined ground squirrel). RNAcentral describes it as "Spermophilus tridecemlineatus (thirteen-lined ground squirrel) tRNA". It matches the Rfam family "tRNA". From Rfam's summary of the family: Transfer RNA (tRNA) molecules are approximately 80 nucleotides in length. The record is from Rfam by way of RNAcentral. RNAcentral also lists the same sequence under 1 other name. Lineage: Eukaryota; Metazoa; Chordata; Mammalia; Rodentia; Sciuridae.
AGGAAUGUAGCUCAGUGGUAGAGCACUUGCCUAGAAUGCAUGAAGCUCUGGGUUUGAUUCCCAGCACCCCAC